GCAGUCGAGCGAACAGACGAGGAGCUUGCUCCUCUGACGUUAGCGGCGGACGGGUGAGUAACACGUGGAUAACCUACCUAUAAGACUGGGAUAACUUCGGGAAACCGGAGCUAAUACCGGAUAAUAUAUUGAACCGCAUGGUUCAAUAGUGAAAGACGGUUUUGCUGUCACUUAUAGAUGGAUCCGCGCCGCAUUAGCUAGUUGGUAAGGUAACGGCUUACCAAGGCAACGAUGCGUAGCCGACCUGAGAGGGUGAUCGGCCACACUGGAACUGAGACACGGUCCAGACUCCUACGGGAGGCAGCAGUAGGGAAUCUUCCGCAAUGGGCGAAAGCCUGACGGAGCAACGCCGCGUGAGUGAUGAAGGUCUUCGGAUCGUAAAACUCUGUUAUUAGGGAAGAACAAAUGUGUAAGUAACUAUGCACGUCUUGACGGUACCUAAUCAGAAAGCCACGGCUAACUACGUGCCAGCAGCCGCGGUAAUACGUAGGUGGCAAGCGUUAUCCGGAAUUAUUGGGCGUAAAGCGCGCGUAGGCGGUUUUUUAAGUCUGAUGUGAAAGCCCACGGCUCAACCGUGGAGGGUCAUUGGAAACUGGAAAACUUGAGUGCAGAAGAGGAAAGUGGAAUUCCA
This 631-nucleotide ribosomal RNA is filed under the name Staphylococcus epidermidis. Its description in RNAcentral is "bacterial SSU rRNA". It matches the Rfam family "Bacterial small subunit ribosomal RNA", at positions 57 to 671 of the family's 1533-position model. Lineage: Bacteria; Bacillati; Bacillota; Bacilli; Caryophanales; Staphylococcaceae. The record is from RNAcentral.